RNAcentral lists this non-coding RNA (100 nucleotides) under Firmicutes bacterium CAG:176. Its description in RNAcentral is "Purine riboswitch aptamer". It matches the Rfam family "Purine riboswitch aptamer". Rfam says of the family: Riboswitches are metabolite binding domains within certain messenger RNAs that serve as precision sensors for their corresponding targets. RNAcentral also lists the same sequence under 1 other name. Lineage: Bacteria; Bacillati; Bacillota. The record is from Rfam by way of RNAcentral.
AAUGUAUCCCGUAAUACAGCUCAUAUAGCCCCGCGAGAAUGGCGCGGGGCGUUUCUACGGAGCCGCCGACGGCUCUGCUAUGGGUGUUUCGAUGCAGGGU